Vombatus ursinus (common wombat) is the source of this 75-nucleotide non-coding RNA. The record is from the annotation of a RefSeq genome assembly. NCBI's taxonomy places the organism in Eukaryota, Metazoa, Chordata, Mammalia, Diprotodontia, Vombatidae.
GGCUCCGUGGCUUAGUUGGUAAAAGCGCCUGUCUCGUAAACAGGAGAUCUCUGGGUUCGAAUCCCAGUGGGGCCU